GGCCACUGAGCGUUAGGCAUCAUCACCCUGUGACAUACCUAUAACGUUGCCUCGGCGGGAACAGACGGCCCCGUAACACGGGCCGCCCCCGCCAGAGGACCCCCUAACUCUGUUUCUAUAAUGUUUCUUCUGAGUAAACAAGCAAAUAAAUUAAAACUUUCAACAACGGAUCUCUUGGCUCUGGCAUCGAUGAAGAACGCAGCGAAAUGCGAUAAGUAAUGUGAAUUGCAGAAUUCAGUGAAUCAUCGAAUCUUUGAACGCACAUUGCGCCCGCCAGUAUUCUGGCGGGCAUGCCUGUUCGAGCGUCAUUACAACCCUCAGGCCCCCGGGCCUGGCGUUGGGGAUCGGCGGAAGCCCCCUGCGGGCACAACGCCGUCCCCCAAAUACAGUGGCGGUCCCGCCGCAGCUUCCAUUGCGUAGUAGCUAACACCUCGCAACUGGAGAGCGGCGCGGCCACGCCGUAAAACACCCAACUUCUGAAUGUUGACCUCGAAUCAGGUAGGAAUACCCGCUGAACUUAAGCAUAUCAAUAAGCGGAGGAA
Molecule: ribosomal RNA, 542 nt
Filed under: Fusarium solani
Lineage: Eukaryota; Fungi; Ascomycota; Sordariomycetes; Hypocreales; Nectriaceae
Description: eukaryotic LSU rRNA
Rfam family: 5.8S ribosomal RNA (bases 155-308)
Source: RNAcentral